GUAGGUGAACCUGCGGAAGGAUCAUUAUCGAGUUUUGAAAUGGGUUGUAGCUGGUCUCUUUCAACGGAGGCAUGUGCACACCUGGCUCAUCCACUCUCAUACCCCUGUGCACUUAUUGUAGGCUUGGUAGACUGGACUUUACUGUCUGGAAAGCCUUUCCUAUGUCUUCAUAACAAACGCUUCAGUUUAAGAAUGUAAUUUUGUGGAUAACACAUUUAUAUACAACUUUCAGCAACGGAUCUCUUGGCUCUC
Molecule: unclassified non-coding RNA, 252 nt
Filed under: rhizosphere metagenome
Description: partial ribosomal RNA internal transcribed spacer region
Source: RNAcentral